GUAACUAUUAAGUUAUUCAGACGCUGACUGCAAUUACAAAGAGUUUAAGGUUGUCCAACCGGCAGGCAAGCCUACCGAGGAAACAAUAAGUACGCAAAAAACACGGAUGCAGGCAAGGGCUAUAUUGCUAUAGACCCCCGUUUGUCCUGAAAAGUAAUGAUCCUUCCGCAGGUUCACCUACGGAAA
RNAcentral lists this unclassified non-coding RNA (186 nucleotides) under uncultured fungus. Its description in RNAcentral is "sequence contains ITS1". The record is from RNAcentral. Lineage: Eukaryota; Fungi.